GACGAACGCUGGCGGCGUGCUUAACACAUGCAAGUCGAACGAAGUGGCGGACGGGUGAGUAACGCGUAAUCAACCUGCCCUUCAGAGGGGGACAACAGUUGGAAACGACUGCUAAUACCGCAUACUGAAGGAGGGGUUUGCGUCGGAUUAGCUCGUUGGAGGGGUAACGGCCCACCAAGGCGAAGAUCAGUAGCCGGGAUGGGAGGAUGAACGGGCACAUUGGGACUGGGGAACGGGCCAGACUCCUACGGGAGGGAGCAGGGGGGGAUCUUCCGAAAUGGAGGAAAGUCUGAAGGAGCAACGGCGGGUGAGUGAUGACGGCCCUCGGGUUGGAAAGCUCUGUUAAGCGGGAAGCGGUACCGGAAUAGAAAGCCACGGCUAACUACGUGCCAGCCGCCGCGGUAAUUC
Molecule: ribosomal RNA, 408 nt
Filed under: uncultured bacterium
Lineage: Bacteria
Description: partial 16S ribosomal RNA
Rfam family: Bacterial small subunit ribosomal RNA
Source: RNAcentral